UACGAGCGGUGUUUUGAAGUUUUCAACCAGUUUUUUGAAGAGUCUGAACCAGUUUUUUGAAGUUUUGAACCAGUUUUUUGAAGAGUCUGAAGGGCAACUCUAUGGACCAGGAAUUGCUGAUUAGCAUAUUAAUGCGAUGGAAAUUGCGACCUGCACCUUUUCCGCCGCACGACAAAUGCACACUCGAGACGCCUCGGUGAAAUGCUUGUACCAGGCAUAAUAUGACAUAUAUCUUAAUGAAAAAAUUUAAGAAGACUGCUGAAAUAUAUAACAAUAAAACCUGAAA
Molecule: long non-coding RNA, 286 nt
Organism: Neodiprion virginianus
Lineage: Eukaryota; Metazoa; Arthropoda; Insecta; Hymenoptera; Diprionidae
Exons: 2
Source: RefSeq, a predicted model, not a curated record